This is a small nucleolar RNA of Acomys russatus (golden spiny mouse), 128 nucleotides long. RefSeq annotates it as small nucleolar RNA SNORA17. NCBI's taxonomy places the organism in Eukaryota, Metazoa, Chordata, Mammalia, Rodentia, Muridae. The record is from RefSeq and is a predicted model, not a curated record. The transcript has a single exon.
UUUGCCCCUAGAAGCAUUGCAGGUGUGGCCUCUGUGUCACAUGUUAGAAGACAGCAGAGAGGAGAGAGGCUGUGUCUGUGCUCAGUGUUCUGACCCAUGAACAUCUGAAUGAUUAGUGGCCUAACAUU